AUAGCACGGGGAAACUCGUAUUAAUACCGCAUACGACCUACGGGAGAAAGGGGGCAGUUUACUGCUCUCGCUAUUAGAUGAGCCUAAGUCGGAUUAGCUAGAUGGUGGGGUAAAGGCCUACCAUGGCGACGAUCUGUAGCUGGUCUGAGAGGAUGAUCAGCCACACCGGGACUGAGACACGGCCCGGACUCCUACGGGAGGCAGCAGUGGGGAAUAUUGGACAAUGGGGGAAACCCUGAUCCAGCCAUGCCGCGUGUGUGAAGAAGGCCUUUUGGUUGUAAAGCACUUUAAGCAGUGAAGAAGACUCCAUGGUUAAUACCCAUGGACGAUGACAUUAGCUGCAGAAUAAGCACCGGCUAACUCUGUGCCAGCAGCCGCGGUAAUACAGAGGGUGCAAGCGUUAAUCGGAAUUACUGGGCGUAAAGGGAGCGUAGGUGGCUCUAUAAGUCAGAUGUGAAAUCCCCGGGCUUAACCUGGGAACUGCAUCUGAAACUGUAGAGCUAGAGUAUGUGAGAGGAAGGUAGAAUUCCAGGUGUAGCGGUGAAAUGCGUAGAGAUCUGGAGGAAUACCGAUGGCGAAGGCAGCCUUCUGGCAUAAUACUGACACUGAGGCUCGAAAGCGUGGGUAGCAAACAGGAUUAGAUACCCUGGUAGUCCACGCCGUAAACGAUGUCUACUAGUCGUUGGGUCCCUUGAGGACUUAGUGACGCAGCUAACGCAAUAAGUAGACCGCCUGGGGAGUACGGCCGCAAGGUUAAAACUCAAAUGAAUUGACGGGGGCCCGCACAAGCGGUGGAGCAUGUGGUUUAAUUCGAUGCAACGCGAAGAACCUUACCUGGUCUUGACAUAUCUAGAAUCCUGCAGAGAUGCGGGAGUGCCUUCGGGAAUUAGAAUACAGGUGCUGCAUGGCUGUCGUCAGCUCGUGUCGUGAGAUGUUGGGUUAAGUCCCGCAACGAGCGCAACCCUUGUCCUUAGUUACCAGCGGGUUAAGCCGGGAACUCUAAGGAUACUGCCAGUGACAAACUGGAGGAAGGCGGGGACGACGUCAAGUCAUCAUGGCCCUUACGACCAGGGCUACACACGUGCUACAAUGGUAGGUACAGAGGGCAGCUACACAGCGAUGUGAUGCGAAUCUCAAAAAGCCUAUCGUAGUCCAGAUUGGAGUCUGCAACUCGACUCCAUGAAGUAGGAAUCGCUAGUAAUCGCGGAUCAGAAUGCCGCGGUGAAUACGUUCCCGGGCCUUGUACACACCGCCCGUCACACCAUGGGAGUUGAUUGCACCAGAAGUGGAUAGCUUAACCUUC
RNAcentral lists this ribosomal RNA (1303 nucleotides) under Psychrobacter cibarius. RNAcentral describes it as "bacterial SSU rRNA". It matches the Rfam family "Bacterial small subunit ribosomal RNA", at positions 143 to 1443 of the family's 1533-position model. The record is from RNAcentral. Lineage: Bacteria; Pseudomonadati; Pseudomonadota; Gammaproteobacteria; Moraxellales; Moraxellaceae.